AAUAACUCUUUACUUCUUAACUCUGAACUCCACCAGCGGCUCUAACACUGAAGGAGUUAAUUCACUGACUCCGCCCAGAAUCAGAUUCCCACCGAAGCGAAGCGACAGAAGCCAAGUCAUUUCAGGACUAUUUACUUUCCAUCUGACUGAGUUAUUUACUGCACUCGGUCCAGUUUGGUUGAGGAUCAAUCUCCAGUCGUCAGCCUAACCUCCCCCUCCUGAUCCCUCCAUGGAUUCUUCGAAGAUUCAAGCUCCAAAAAUGAUUAUAGACCAACACUUUCUGUCCUACUCUGAGACUGAAGACUGUCUGAUGCUGUAGAGGAGCAUGUUGGUGUCUCCGGCCAAACGUCACAAACAGCCCAACAACCUGGAGACAGUCUGUUAGUGAGUGGACAUCUCGGUUUGUUAUGUAUUGUACAUAUCUGGCAAUCUACCUGUUAAAAGAAAAUGUACUCUAUCAUAUUACAUGAACUGCUUGCUUUACUUUCUCAACCUUGUACUUUGAACAAUUUCAUGCAUGUGGCAAUGAAGAAAAAUGUAUUAAUCAUACUGCAUUUUGUWUUGCACAACUAAUAUGUUAGACCUUUUAAAAAGCAAUAUGUGAAUGAAAGCGACAUGUGAAACAUGCACAUUAUUCCACGUUGUAAUA
Molecule: non-coding RNA, 649 nt
Organism: Poecilia reticulata (guppy)
Lineage: Eukaryota; Metazoa; Chordata; Actinopteri; Cyprinodontiformes; Poeciliidae
Source: RefSeq, a predicted model, not a curated record